Molecule: transfer RNA, 73 nt
Filed under: Felis catus (domestic cat)
Lineage: Eukaryota; Metazoa; Chordata; Mammalia; Carnivora; Felidae
Rfam family: tRNA
About the family: Transfer RNA (tRNA) molecules are approximately 80 nucleotides in length. Their secondary structure includes four short double-helical elements and three loops (D, anti-codon, and T loops).
Source: Rfam by way of RNAcentral
ACCCUCCUGGCUCAGUUGAUAGAGCACGAGACUCUUAACCUCAGGGUUGUGAGUUCGAGCCCCACAUCGGGUG